Molecule: ribosomal RNA, 254 nt
Filed under: uncultured bacterium
Lineage: Bacteria
Description: partial 16S ribosomal RNA
Rfam family: Bacterial small subunit ribosomal RNA
Source: RNAcentral
GACAGAGGGUGCAAACGUUGUUCGGAAUUACUGGGCGUAAAGCGCGUGUAGGCGGCCCGGAAAGUCGGAUGUGAAAGCCCUGGGCUUAACCUAGGAAGUGCAUUCGAAACUCCCGUGGCUUGAGUUCUGGAGAGGGAAGCGGAGUUCUCGGUGUAGAGGUGAAAUUCGUAGAUAUCGAGAGGAACACCGGUGGCGAAGGCGGCUUCCUGGACAGUGACUGACGCUGAGACGCGAAAGCGUGGGGAGCAAACAGG